RNAcentral lists this ribosomal RNA (205 nucleotides) under uncultured crenarchaeote. Its description in RNAcentral is "partial 16S ribosomal RNA". It matches the Rfam family "Archaeal small subunit ribosomal RNA", at positions 484 to 689 of the family's 1478-position model. Lineage: Archaea; Thermoproteati; Thermoproteota. The record is from RNAcentral.
CCGAGUGGUGUGGAUGUUUAUUGGGCCUAAAGCAUCCGUAGCUGGCCAAGCCAGUCCCCUGUUAAACCCAACGAAUUAAUCGUUGGAUUGCGGGGGAUACUGCUCGGCUAGGGGACGAGAGAGGCCGACGGUAUUCUCGGGGUAGGGGUGAAAUCCUAUAAUCCCGGGAAGACCACCAGUGGCGAAGGCUGUCGGCUAGAACGCG